CUGGAGGUAUCAGAAGUGCGAAUGCUGACAUAAGUAACGAUAAAGCGGGUGAAAAGCCCGCUCGCCGGAAGACCAAGGGUUCCUGUCCAACGUUAAUCGGGGCAGGGUGAGUCGACCCCUAAGGCGAGGCCGAAAGGCGUAGUCGAUGGGAAACGGGUUAAUAUUCCCGUACUUGGUGUUACUGCGAAGGGGGGACGGAGAAGGCUAUGUUGGCCGGGCGACGGUUGUCCCGGUUUAAGCGUGUAGGUGUGUGUUCCAGGUAAAUCCGGUUCACUUUAACACUGAGGCGUGAUGACGAGGCACUACGGUGCUGAAGCAACAAAUGCCCUGCUUCCAGGAAAAGCCUCUAAGCAUCAGGUAACAUCAAAUCGUACCCCAAACCGACACAGGUGGUCAGGUAGAGAAUACCAAGGCGCUUGAGAGAACUCGGGUGAAGGAACUAGGCAAAAUGGUGCCGUAACUUCGGGAGAAGGCACGCUGACACGUAGGUGAAGUGAUUUACUCAUGGAGCUGAAGUCAGUCGAAGAUACCAGCUGGCUGCAACUGUUUAUUAAAAACACAGCACUGUGCAAACACGAAAGUGGACGUAUACGGUGUGACGCCUGCCCGGUGCCGGAAGGUUAAUUGAUGGGGUCAGCGCAAGCGAAGCUCCUGAUCGAAGCCCCGGUAAACGGCGGCCGUAACUAUAACGGUCCUAAGGUAGCGAAAUUCCUUGUCGGGUAAGUUCCGACCUGCACGAAUGGCGUAAUGAUGGCCAGGCUGUCUCCACCCGAGACUCAGUGAAAUUGAACUCGCUGUGAAGAUGCAGUGUACCCGCGGCAAGACGGAAAGACCCCGUGAACCUUUACUAUAGCUUGACACUGAACAUUGAGCCUUGAUGUGUAGGAUAGGUGGGAGGCUUUGAAGUGUGGACGCCAGUCUGCAUGGAGCCGGCCUUGAAAUACCACCCUUUAAUGUUUGAUGUUCUAACGUGGACCCGUGAUCCGGGUUGCGGACAGUGUCUGGUGGGUAGUUUGACUGGGGCGGUCUCCUCCUAAAGAGUAACGGAGGAGCACGAAGGUUGGCUAAUCCUGGUCGGACAUCAGGAGGUUAGUGCAAUGGCAUAAGCCAGCUUGACUGCGAGCGUGACGGCGCGAGCAGGUGCGAAAGCAGGUCAUAGUGAUCCGGUGGUUCUGAAUGGAAGGGCCAUCGCUCAACGGAUAAAAGGUACUCCGGGGAUAACAGGCUGAUACCGCCCAAGAGUUCAUAUCGACGGCGGUGUUUGGCACCUCGAUGUCGGCUCAUCACAUCCUGGGGCUGAAGUAGGUCCCAAGGGUAUGGCUGUUCGCCAUUUAAAGUGGUACGCGAGCUGGGUUUAGAACGUCGUGAGACAGUUCGGUCCCUAUCUGCCGUGGGCGCUGGAGAACUGAGGGGGGCUGCUCCUAGUACGAGAGGACCGGAGUGGACGCAUCACUGGUGUUCGGGUUGUCAUGCCAAUGGCACUGCCCGGUAGCUAAAUGCGGAAGAGAUAAGUGCUGAAAGCAUCUAAGCACGAAACUUGCCCCGAGAUGAGUUCUC
RNAcentral lists this ribosomal RNA (1557 nucleotides) under Salmonella enterica subsp. enterica serovar Schwarzengrund. Its description in RNAcentral is "partial 23S ribosomal RNA". It matches the Rfam family "Bacterial large subunit ribosomal RNA", at positions 1273 to 2813 of the family's 2925-position model. Lineage: Bacteria; Pseudomonadati; Pseudomonadota; Gammaproteobacteria; Enterobacterales; Enterobacteriaceae. The record is from RNAcentral.